This 319-nucleotide ribosomal RNA is filed under the name uncultured eukaryote. RNAcentral's name for it is "partial 18S ribosomal RNA". It matches the Rfam family "Eukaryotic small subunit ribosomal RNA", at positions 1470 to 1796 of the family's 1831-position model. The record is from RNAcentral.
CCCUUAGAUGUUCUGGGCAGCACGCGCGCUACAAUGGUCUUCGCAAACGGAUGCAUUCUCGAAGGAGAAUGUCAAUCUUGGAAUCUAUGCCUUGGUCGGGACAGUUGCUUGCAAUUUUUCGACUCGAACCAGGAAUUCCUUGUAAUCGUGAUUCAUCACAUCACGAUGAAUACGUCCCUGCCCUUUGUACACACCGCCCGUCGCUCCUACCGAUCGAAGAGUUAGGUGAAUUGUUUUGAUCGAUAAGAUUUGACUAUGGUCAACUCUCGUUGUGAAAUUCUGUGAAUCUGACUGUUUAGAGGAAGGAAAAGUCGUAACA